UAUGUCACAGAUUAAUGAAUCUGACCUCAUAAAAGGUCUUGAAGAUGCUAUUACUUCAGUAAUUAAUAUCAUCCACAAUCAUUGUGUCUUGGCACAUCUCACAUAAUUUCACUUUAUGUAAGUGUGUAGAUUGUCGGAGUCCAGCUCCAACAGGGGGUCUCAGGAGACGAACGGAUGGUGAGGAGUCAGCAAAAGCGGGUGGAGAAACAACACAGACACCAAAGUGAAGAAAAACACAGAAUGAUCCAGAGAAAACAACAAAACUCAGAAAGAGCAGUUAAAUGUAAUGAAGCUUCCCUGGGAAAACAUUCUGGAUAAAUGAAAGCAUGGGACUUACCAGAAAACCAGGCGAGGCCAUACAAACAACACCAAGCCAAACACUACCUCAAGGAGGGUUUUACAGGUGACUGAGGAUAACAAAAUUGUGAAAAUACGCCUGGUAUUGAACUGAACGAGAAGUAUAUUUUUCAAUCAGCCCAAGCCAAUGUGGAAUUCAUUCACUUCUCUGAAUACAUGGAUUUAUCUCCUUUCCUUAACUGCAGACCAUGAAACCUCCAACCUCUGGUCCUGCCUAGGCUGCACUGUUCUCUAUAUCCAAAUAAAAAGGUCUUUCAAAAAUGAA
Ictidomys tridecemlineatus (thirteen-lined ground squirrel) is the source of this 622-nucleotide long non-coding RNA. RefSeq lists it as uncharacterized. Lineage: Eukaryota; Metazoa; Chordata; Mammalia; Rodentia; Sciuridae. The record is from RefSeq and is a predicted model, not a curated record.